This 1517-nucleotide ribosomal RNA is filed under the name Bacteroides fragilis CL05T00C42. RNAcentral's name for it is "bacterial SSU rRNA". It matches the Rfam family "Bacterial small subunit ribosomal RNA". The record is from RNAcentral. Lineage: Bacteria; Pseudomonadati; Bacteroidota; Bacteroidia; Bacteroidales; Bacteroidaceae.
AGAGUUUGAUCCUGGCUCAGGAUGAACGCUAGCUACAGGCUUAACACAUGCAAGUCGAGGGGCAUCAGGAAGAAAGCUUGCUUUCUUUGCUGGCGACCGGCGCACGGGUGAGUAACACGUAUCCAACCUGCCCUUUACUCGGGGAUAGCCUUUCGAAAGAAAGAUUAAUACCCGAUAGCAUAAUGAUUCCGCAUGGUUUCAUUAUUAAAGGAUUCCGGUAAAGGAUGGGGAUGCGUUCCAUUAGGUUGUUGGUGAGGUAACGGCUCACCAAGCCUUCGAUGGAUAGGGGUUCUGAGAGGAAGGUCCCCCACAUUGGAACUGAGACACGGUCCAAACUCCUACGGGAGGCAGCAGUGAGGAAUAUUGGUCAAUGGGCGCUAGCCUGAACCAGCCAAGUAGCGUGAAGGAUGAAGGCUCUAUGGGUCGUAAACUUCUUUUAUAUAAGAAUAAAGUGCAGUAUGUAUACUGUUUUGUAUGUAUUAUAUGAAUAAGGAUCGGCUAACUCCGUGCCAGCAGCCGCGGUAAUACGGAGGAUCCGAGCGUUAUCCGGAUUUAUUGGGUUUAAAGGGAGCGUAGGUGGACUGGUAAGUCAGUUGUGAAAGUUUGCGGCUCAACCGUAAAAUUGCAGUUGAUACUGUCAGUCUUGAGUACAGUAGAGGUGGGCGGAAUUCGUGGUGUAGCGGUGAAAUGCUUAGAUAUCACGAAGAACUCCGAUUGCGAAGGCAGCUCACUGGACUGCAACUGACACUGAUGCUCGAAAGUGUGGGUAUCAAACAGGAUUAGAUACCCUGGUAGUCCACACAGUAAACGAUGAAUACUCGCUGUUUGCGAUAUACAGUAAGCGGCCAAGCGAAAGCAUUAAGUAUUCCACCUGGGGAGUACGCCGGCAACGGUGAAACUCAAAGGAAUUGACGGGGGCCCGCACAAGCGGAGGAACAUGUGGUUUAAUUCGAUGAUACGCGAGGAACCUUACCCGGGCUUAAAUUGCAGUGGAAUGAUGUGGAAACAUGUCAGUGAGCAAUCACCGCUGUGAAGGUGCUGCAUGGUUGUCGUCAGCUCGUGCCGUGAGGUGUCGGCUUAAGUGCCAUAACGAGCGCAACCCUUAUCUUCAGUUACUAACAGGUUAUGCUGAGGACUCUGGAGAGACUGCCGUCGUAAGAUGUGAGGAAGGUGGGGAUGACGUCAAAUCAGCACGGCCCUUACGUCCGGGGCUACACACGUGUUACAAUGGGGGGUACAGAAGGCAGCUAGCGGGUGACCGUAUGCUAAUCCCAAAAUCCUCUCUCAGUUCGGAUCGAAGUCUGCAACCCGACUUCGUGAAGCUGGAUUCGCUAGUAAUCGCGCAUCAGCCACGGCGCGGUGAAUACGUUCCCGGGCCUUGUACACACCGCCCGUCAAGCCAUGGGAGCCGGGGGUACCUGAAGUACGUAACCGCAAGGAUCGUCCUAGGGUAAAACUGGUGACUGGGGCUAAGUCGUAACAAGGUAGCCGUACCGGAAGGUGCGGCUGGAACACCU